This 430-nucleotide ribosomal RNA is filed under the name uncultured crenarchaeote. RNAcentral's name for it is "bacterial SSU rRNA". It matches the Rfam family "Archaeal small subunit ribosomal RNA", at positions 1 to 436 of the family's 1478-position model. Lineage: Archaea; Thermoproteati; Thermoproteota. The record is from RNAcentral.
UUUCCCGGUUGAUCCUGCCGGACCUGACUGCUAUCGGAUUGGUACUAAGCCAUGCGAGUCGUUGUAGCAAUACAAGGCGGACGGCUCAGUAACACGUAGUCAACCUAACCUAUGGACGUGGAUGACCUCGGGAAACUGAGAAUAAACCGCGAUAGAUCAUUAUGCCUGGAAUGGCUUAUGGUUCAAACAAUUUAUUGCCGUAGGAUGGGACUGCGGCCUAUCAGCUUGUUGGUGAGGUAAUGGCCCACCAAGGCUAUAACAGGUACGGGCUCUGAGAGGAGAAGCCCGGAGAUGGGUACUGAGACACGGAUCCAGGCCCUAUGGGGCGCAGCAGGCGAGAAACCUUAGCAAUGUGCGAAAGCACGACUAGGUUAAUCCGAGUGGUUCCUGCUAAAGGAACCUUUUGUCAGUCGUAAAACCACAGACGAAU